RNAcentral lists this long non-coding RNA (1698 nucleotides) under Oreochromis niloticus (Nile tilapia). RNAcentral describes it as "lncRNA (ENSONIG00000005319.2)". Lineage: Eukaryota; Metazoa; Chordata; Actinopteri; Cichliformes; Cichlidae. The record is from RNAcentral.
GGGGGUGGUAAUAUUGGAUGAUGAAUUAAGAUGGAAAUGUCAUAUUGAACAUGUUAGAAAAAAGAUGGUUAAAAAUAUUUAUAUUUCGGGUAAUGUCAGAGAUACUAGAUUUUAAGGCAAUGCAUAUUUUAUAUUUCUCACUAAUUUCCCCCUAUCUCAAUUAUUGUCUUGAAGUGUGGGGGAAUACAUAUGUGAGUAAUAUAAAACCUUUAUACUUGUUACAGUGUUAUGUCUCUCUGCAGCCCUAAUCAUCUCAGUGUGUUCAGCUGGUGCUAAUUGGCCACACCUAGGCAGGUGUGGAUAAAAGCAUACCUGAGGCAAGCUUCCCAGGGAAAGCUCACUUGUCUUUGCCUUGGUGGCACCAGCUAUUUAAGCCAACCUGGUAUUCCAUUUUAAGAUUGUGAGUCAGAAAUGAAGAGAUUCACAUCAGAAUGGACUGAAUUCACCUGCAACUGUCAAAAAACACCUGGAAAAUGUCAAAUGGUCUGUGUAGCUGAUUGUGGCUCAAAAACUGGAAAAAAGACUCUCAGAGUAAUCCUCAAACAAGUUGAGAACAAGGACCCCAAAAGGAAUGAUGACAAAAAAGAACUGAAAUUUAAACUUGAGGAAAAUGGCUGUCCAAAGCAAUUCAAUCAAACUGCAUACAAAAAAGCUAAAACCACCAUCAGAUGCAAUCAUCCUGAAAAUAAAUCUGAGUUGUGGUUUUUCUGCAAAGAGAACUCUUCUGUCUGUAACAACAUUUUAUCAGACAGAAGAUCCUUUCUCACAAACACAUACAGUGUCUCCAUCAGUGACGUGUCCAUUGAGGACAAGGGUGUCUACUGGUGUGGAGUAAAGUUCACUGAGAACAAUCAUCAUGUCGCACUCACAAAAGUAAAAUUGAAAGUUGAAGAGAUUAAAAAUGUCAAAAGAAGCCCAGUUGUUGGACAGAACUUCACUUACUGGUGUAAAUACAACCAGACUGUCUCCUCAACAACAAAGUUCAUCUGUAAGGGAGAAGAUCCAUCCAUAUGUCAAGCUCUCGUAAACACCAGGCAGCCUGGUGUGAACAACAGGUUUUUCAUGACUGAUAACACAAAAGAGAAAAACAUCACGAUAACAGUGAGAGAAGUAACAGCAGCAGACAGCGGGACGUACUGGUGUGGAGCAGAAACAAAACAACAACAACGCAGCAACAAGUUCUUCAACAGACUGUUUCUGACAGUACAACCAGCACCACCUUCAUCCUCUACCCCUUUAACUACAACAACCACUACAACUGCUAAGAGUCAUGUCACCUUUGGGAUUACCACUGCUGUGAUCAUCGGCGUGGCUGUGUUUCUGAUCGGUUUCUUUCUUAUUUACAUACGAGUUUCAUGUAUAAAAAACAAAGGAAUUAGUGCAUCAUUGCAGCACGUCAAAGAGGACUCUGCCUAUGAGGAAAUCCAGGAGCGCCUCCAGACGCCAGGAAAUGCAGUGGACUCGAUUUAUGUCACUGCCGGCAGGUACACAGAUGUUACCUCCUUACAUUACUCUACCAUCAACUUUCAGAGCCACUCUCAGGAAGCUGGUGGUGAGGAAGUGAAUCCCAGCACGUCUGCCUGUGAAUAUUCUACUGUGGAUUUCAGAAAACGUCCAGAUAACUCAACCGUCACUCAACCAUCCAGACCAGCAGAGGAGAAUCUCUACUCAGCAGUCAAUGAGCUAGAGCAAAUAUGA